UGGGAUUGUGUCGAUUCCGUAUUUGCAGAAUUGGAUAUACCCUAGUUCGAAUCUUGUUGAAUUGGUUCGUAAUUUGAGUCAUUUUUUUGGAAGGGAUCCUCCGCUUUAUGCCAAAGUACAAGCACAUCCAUCAAACCCUAACCCUAGUCCUAGGCCUACCCCUACCCCUAACCCUCAUCCUCCGCCAAGUACGAGUUUUCCUAAUCACAGCUCGCCAGUCGGGUCAUAUGGGAUUCGGCCUGCGAUACCUCCUCGGCCAGUUCAACAACCACCUUAUGGUGCAGUGAAACAUGAUGAUCCGGAGGAGGUUUUUAAGCGGAACGCGACAGAUAAGCUGCUUGUUGACUUGCAUAAUGAUAUAGUUGGGUUGAGGAAUGCACAGGAGAAGGAUAUGGAUGGGUUGUUUAAUGCUCAGGGAGUGUUGAAGCAGCGGGAGGAGCAGUUGAAACAAGGGUU
This 456-nucleotide unclassified non-coding RNA is filed under the name Hevea brasiliensis (rubber tree). Lineage: Eukaryota; Viridiplantae; Streptophyta; Magnoliopsida; Malpighiales; Euphorbiaceae. The record is from RNAcentral.